Molecule: ribosomal RNA, 800 nt
Filed under: uncultured Alphaproteobacteria bacterium
Lineage: Bacteria; Pseudomonadati; Pseudomonadota; Alphaproteobacteria
Description: bacterial SSU rRNA
Rfam family: Bacterial small subunit ribosomal RNA
Source: RNAcentral
AACGAACGCUGGCGGCAGGCUUAACACAUGCAAGUCGAGCGCGCCCUUCGGGGUGAGCGGCGGACGGGUGAGUAACGCGUGGGAACAUGCCCUUCACUGCGGAAUAGCCUCUGGAAACGGAGAGUAAUACCGCAUACGCCCUUCGGGGGAAAGAUUUAUCGGUGAGGGAUUGGCCCGCGUUGGAUUAGGUAGUUGGUGGGGUAACGGCCUACCAAGCCGACGAUCGAUAGCUGGUUUGAGAGGAUGAUCAGCCACACUGGGACUGAGACACGGCCCAGACUCCUACGGGAGGCAGCAGUGGGGAAUCUUAGACAAUGGGGGAAACCCUGAUCUAGCCAUGCCGCGUGUGUGAUGAAGGCCUUAGGGUCGUAAAGCACUUUCGCCUGUGAAGAUAAUGACUGUAGCAGGUAAAGAAACCCCGGCUAACUCCGUGCCAGCAGCCGCGGUAAUACGGAGGGGGUUAGCGUUGUUCGGAAUUACUGGGCGUAAAGCGCGCGUAGGCGGACUAUUAAGUGAGGGGUGAAAUCCCAGGGCUCAACCCUGGAACUGCCUCUCAUACUGGUAGUCUUGAGUUCGAGAGAGGUGAGUGGAAUUCCGAGUGUAGAGGUGAAAUUCGUAGAUAUUCGGAGGAACACCAGUGGCGAAGGCGGCUCACUGGCUCGAUACUGACGCUGAGGUGCGAAAGUGUGGGGAGCAAACAGGAUUAGAUACCCUGGUAGUCCACACCGUAAACGAUGAAUGCCAGUCGUCGGGUAGUAUACUAUUCGGUGACACACCUAACGGAAUUAAGCAUUCCGCCU